GGCAGCACGGGAGCAAUCCUGGUGGCGAGUGGCGAACGGGUGAGUAAUGUAUCGGAACGUACCUUUCAGUGGGGGAUAACGUAGCGAAAGUUACGCUAAUACCGCAUAUUCUGUGAGCAGGAAAGCAGGGGAUCGCAAGACCUUGCGCUGAUUGAGCGGCCGAUAUCAGAUUAGCUAGUUGGUGGGGUAAAAGCUCACCAAGGCGACGAUCUGUAGCGGGUCUGAGAGGAUGAUCCGCCACACUGGAACUGAGACACGGUCCAGACUCCUACGGGAGGCAGCAGUGGGGAAUUUUGGACAAUGGGCGCAAGCCUGAUCCAGCCAUGCCGCGUGAGUGAAGAAGGCCUUCGGGUUGUAAAGCUCUUUCGGCCGGGAAGAAAUCGCAUGGGUUAAUACCCUGUGCGGAUGACGGUACCGGCAUAAGAAGCACCGGCUAACUACGUGCCAGCAGCCGCGGUAAUACGUAGGGUGCGAGCGUUAAUCGGAAUUACUGGGCGUAAAGCGUGCGCAGGCGGUUUGUUAAGAUAGGCGUGAAAUCCCCGGGCUCAACCUGGGAACUGCGCUUAUGACUGGCAAGCUAGAGUACGGCAGAGGGGGGUGGAAUUCCACGUGUAGCAGUGAAAUGCGUAGAGAUGUGGAGGAACACCAAUGGCGAAGGCAGCCCCCUGGGUCGAUACUGACGCUCAUGCACGAAAGCGUGGGUAGCAAACAGGAUUAGAUACCCUGGUAGUCCACGCCCUAAACGAUGUCAACUAGGUGUUGGAUGGGUAAAACCAUUUAGUACCGGAGCUAACGCGUGAAGUUGACCGCCUGGGGAGUACG
Molecule: ribosomal RNA, 822 nt
Filed under: uncultured bacterium
Lineage: Bacteria
Description: bacterial SSU rRNA
Rfam family: Bacterial small subunit ribosomal RNA
Source: RNAcentral